CGAGGCAGUUUUAAGCUUGUAGUGAUAGCAAGUGAGAGUUCGUAUUGUCACUUCUUUUGGCCAUACUAAGGUCCCUCUGUAGUGAGAACUGAUUGUUUCUACGCCACUGAUUUGCAAUUAUAGUGUGUCCUAUGGUGUCUUUGAGGAGUACACACAGCGAGACAUUAAUCGGUCGUGAUCUUGUUGUCACGGAGGACCUGUGGUGGGCGGGCGAGCGCGUGGUCAUCCCUUCAUAUGGUGGUUCAAGUUUUGGUGUAUAGGACGAAAGCUAAGAUGUGAUACGAGAAUAAUUUUCUACGUAAAGGACAGGUUCUGUUGCUUUGGACUCUUCGUUAUCGCGUUGGAUUCCAAUGGAUAACCUCGCCUUUGAACUUCAAGUGGGUGAUGAAUCAGACGGACUGCCUCCCCCUCCCCCUGACCCUUCCCCCCUCCCCGCAGCGCCGUCCGUGACAAGUCCAGUAGUGACAAUCACCCCGGGACAAUGCCCAGGGUGUAGGGUCGGUCGGUUACAAAAGGAAUACACCAGAACCGGGAUCGCGCUGGCAUUUGGCUGCUUCCCCUGUGGCAUUGCCUGUUGCCACUUCAUGAGGAAGAGCCGCUGUAAUGUGUGCAAAGCUCUCUUUUAAAUGCAACCCUUUGCAAUGAGAAUCCGCCUGCCAAUUGUGGUAAAAUUGAGGGGGUUGGGGUAAAAAAACAAACAAAAAAAAACCAGGUAAAUCUGUGUAUUUGUGCGUUUGUUUUACAUAGAUUAUUUUGGAAUUCUCAAUAGACUUGUAAGAUUAUAUAUUAAAAUAGUUUUCUAAUUA
This is an RNA transcript of Penaeus chinensis, 806 nucleotides long. It is a transcript of the gene named brain protein I3-like, with no coding region annotated. The record is from RefSeq and is a predicted model, not a curated record. Lineage: Eukaryota; Metazoa; Arthropoda; Malacostraca; Decapoda; Penaeidae. The transcript has 5 exons.